AAAAUCAAUUAUUUCUAAACUUACACAUGCAAGCCUCCACACACCCGUGAAAACGCCCUUUCUUCCACCUAGGAUUAAGGAGCCGAUAUCAGGCACAGUAAAUUGCCCAAAACAUCUAGCCCCGCCACACCCACAAGGGUAUUCAGCAGUGACUAACAUUAAAAAUAAACGCCAGUUUGAUUUAGAUAAAGAAAACAGAGCCGGCCAAUCCCGGUGCCAGCCGCCGCGGGUACACCAAAUGACUCACAUUGAUUUUCUACGGCGUAAAGCGUGAUUAAAGUACACUCUUCCCGGGGUUAAACUCAAACUGAGCGCUAAAAUGCCUGUUCUCAAGAAAACCACCCGAAAGACACCCCGAUUUAACAACUUGA
This 371-nucleotide ribosomal RNA is filed under the name Pristimantis zeuctotylus (Sipaliwini robber frog). RNAcentral's name for it is "partial 12S ribosomal RNA". Lineage: Eukaryota; Metazoa; Chordata; Amphibia; Anura; Strabomantidae. The record is from RNAcentral.